UACGGGGGGAGCAAGCGUUGUUCGGAUUUACUGGGCGUAAAGGGCGUGUAGGCGGCCAACUAAGUCCGACGUGAAAUCCCCAGGCUUAACCUGGGAACUGCGUCGGAUACUGGAUGGCUUGAAUCCGGGAGAGGGAUGCGGAAUUCCAGGUGUAGCGGUGAAAUGCGUAGAUAUCUGGAGGAAUACCGGUGGCGAAGGCGGCAUCCUGGACCGACAUUGACGCUGAGGAGCGAAAGCUAGGGGAGCAAACGGG
This 253-nucleotide ribosomal RNA is filed under the name uncultured bacterium. RNAcentral describes it as "partial 16S ribosomal RNA". It matches the Rfam family "Bacterial small subunit ribosomal RNA", at positions 524 to 776 of the family's 1533-position model. The record is from RNAcentral.